This 292-nucleotide ribosomal RNA is filed under the name uncultured bacterium. RNAcentral describes it as "partial 16S ribosomal RNA". It matches the Rfam family "Bacterial small subunit ribosomal RNA", at positions 505 to 796 of the family's 1533-position model. The record is from RNAcentral.
GUGUCAGCCGCCGCGGUAAUACAGAGGGUGCGAGCGUUAAUCGGAAUUACUGGGCGUAAAGCGCACGUAGGUGGAUAUUUAAGUCGGAAGUGAAAGCCCUGGGCUUAACCUGGGAAUUGCCUCCGAUACUGGAUAUCUAGAGUAUGGUAGAGGAUAGUGGAAUUUCCGGUGUAGCGGUGAAAUGCGUAGAUAUCGGAAGGAACACCAGUGGCGAAGGCGGCUAUCUGGACCAAUACUGACACUUAGGUGCGAAAGCGUGGGGAGCAAACAGGAUUAGAUACCCUCGUAGUCC